RNAcentral lists this long non-coding RNA (787 nucleotides) under Cricetulus griseus (Chinese hamster). Its description in RNAcentral is "lncRNA (ENSCGRG00015040330.1)". Lineage: Eukaryota; Metazoa; Chordata; Mammalia; Rodentia; Cricetidae. The record is from RNAcentral.
CUGCUAUGAGAGACGUUCCAGCCUCGUGCUGCUUUAAAGGGCUGGGGACUGCUGCGCUCGGCUCGCCUGCUCGCCGCUUCCGGGCUGACAGUCUGGGCUGCACGCAGUGGCGGGCCCGGGAGCCUGAGAAGAUGACUAGGAGUGUCUGAACCCCAGGGUUCAGGCUGGAGAGCCGGUUCCUGACUGCACGGGAGACGCCCUCGCUCAGGACACAGUUCAAAGGAUCUAGAUUGGCAAUCUCAGUCCAGAGCAGAACGGUUUCCAGAUGGGGCCUGAUGGAGUGUGUGUGACAGGCUGGUGCUCCCGGGACCGAUCCUGGAGUCUCGAGGCUUGGCAGGAUCCUCUCUUACUGCCCAACAGGCCGAUUGCUGUCUGCAGGACCACAGGACAAAUUCAAGCUUCUUCUGUCCAAGGGCUUUGACCUCUGUUUCUCAAUCUCUCCUGCCGUGGAGUUACUGAAUCCUCCUAGGACAGGCCGCAAUAUCCCUUCACAGUGAAGGAGGAGGGCGCUUGCCUUAUUCUUCCUGCCGGUGUAUCCUGAGAUUCUGCUGGGUCAUUCACACCAAGAACUGCACUAAGGAGACAGAAGCAGGAAGAUCUCUGUGAGUUCGAGACCAGCCUGGACUACAAGACUACAGGACAGCCAAGACUACACAGAGAAACCCUGUCUCAAAAAACAAAAACAGGGGACUGGAGAGAUGGCUCAAAGAUUAAGUGCACUGGCUGCUCUUCCAGAGGUCCUGAGUUCAAUUCCCAGCAACCACAUGGUGGCUCACAUGAGAUCUGG